This 253-nucleotide ribosomal RNA is filed under the name uncultured bacterium. RNAcentral's name for it is "partial 16S ribosomal RNA". It matches the Rfam family "Bacterial small subunit ribosomal RNA", at positions 524 to 776 of the family's 1533-position model. The record is from RNAcentral.
UACGAAGGGGGCUAGCGUUGUUCGGAAUCACUGGGCGUAAAGGGUGCGCAGGCGGCCAUUUAAGUCGGGGGUGAAAGCCUGUGGCUCAACCACAGAAUUGCCUUCGAUACUGGAUGGCUUGAGUUCGGUAGAGGUUGGUGGAACUGCGAGUGUAGAGGUGAAAUUCGUAGAUAUUCGCAAGAACACCGGUGGCGAAGGCGGCCAACUGGACCGACACUGACGCUGAGGCGCGAAAGCGUGGGGAGCAAACAGG